Theobroma cacao (cacao) is the source of this 315-nucleotide non-coding RNA. The record is from RefSeq and is a predicted model, not a curated record. NCBI's taxonomy places the organism in Eukaryota, Viridiplantae, Streptophyta, Magnoliopsida, Malvales, Malvaceae.
GUGAAAGUAUUGUGGAAGAAUGCUCGAAUGGAGGAGAUGACGUGGGAAGUCGAGAGCCAGAUGAGAAACCAAUAUCCACAUCUUUUAUUCGAAUCAGGUGGUGAGUCCUCCGAUAAAGGCAAGGAAAUUACAUCCAAGGACCAGCAGACAAAGUGCUUCGAAAGUCUGUAUUCUAGACAUUGUUCAGUAUAAACUGUAGAUAGCUGAUCUCAUCGAGGUCUACCGUUGGAUCUGCAUCUUUUCAAACCGUAAGUUCACAGUCCUCUUUACUUUUGUUUAUUCAGGAGCCCUUUUGUUAUUGUAAAUUAAAUUAAA